GAUGAACGCUGGCGGCGUGCCUAAUACAUGCAAGUCGAGCGAACGGACGAGAAGCUUGCUUCUCUGAUGUUAGCGGCGGACGGGUGAGUAACACGUGGAUAACCUACCUAUAAGACUGGGAUAACUUCGGGAAACCGGAGCUAAUACCGGAUAAUAUUUUGAACCGCAUGGUUCAAAAGUGAAAGACGGUCUUGCUGUCACUUAUAGAUGGAUCCGCGCUGCAUUAGCUAGUUGGUAAGGUAACGGCUUACCAAGGCAACGAUGCAUAGCCGACCUGAGAGGGUGGUCGGCCACACUGGAGCUGAGACACGGUCCUGACUCCUACGGGAGGCAGCAGUAGGGAAUCUUCCGCAAUGGGCGAAAGCCUGACGGAGCAACGCCGCGUGAGUGAUGAAGGUCUUCGGAUCGUAAAACUCUGUUAUUAGGGAAGAACAUAUGUGUAAGUAACUGUGCACAUCUUGACGGUACCUAAUCAGAAAGCCACGGCUAACUACGUG
RNAcentral lists this ribosomal RNA (497 nucleotides) under uncultured bacterium. RNAcentral's name for it is "partial 16S ribosomal RNA". It matches the Rfam family "Bacterial small subunit ribosomal RNA", at positions 28 to 507 of the family's 1533-position model. The record is from RNAcentral.